UACGGAGGGGGCUAGCGUUGUUCGGAAUUACUGGGCGUAAAGCGUACGUAGGCGGCUUUGUAAGUUAGAGGUGAAAGCCCGGAGCUCAACUCCGGAAUUGCCUUUAAGACUGCAUCGCUUGAAUCAUGGAGAGGUUAGUGGAAUUCCGAGUGUAGAGGUGAAAUUCGUAGAUAUUCGGAAGAACACCAGUGGCGAAGGCGACUAACUGGACAUGUAUUGACGCUGAGGUACGAAAGCGUGGGGAGCGAACAGG
RNAcentral lists this ribosomal RNA (253 nucleotides) under uncultured bacterium. RNAcentral describes it as "partial 16S ribosomal RNA". It matches the Rfam family "Bacterial small subunit ribosomal RNA", at positions 524 to 776 of the family's 1533-position model. The record is from RNAcentral.